RNAcentral lists this microRNA precursor (102 nucleotides) under Marmota monax (woodchuck). The record is from RNAcentral. Lineage: Eukaryota; Metazoa; Chordata; Mammalia; Rodentia; Sciuridae.
AUAUGAAUCACCAAGAGAUCUUACUAAAAGGUAAAUUCUGAUUUUGUACCUGGGGUGGGGUUGAGAUUGUGCAUUUCUGAUUAAUCCCCAGGUGAUGCAGCU